RNAcentral lists this long non-coding RNA (203 nucleotides) under Nicotiana benthamiana. RNAcentral's name for it is "long non-coding RNA (NBEN_LNC000127)". Lineage: Eukaryota; Viridiplantae; Streptophyta; Magnoliopsida; Solanales; Solanaceae. The record is from RNAcentral.
CAGAGCAACGCUACGAAAGGGUUCGUGGGUUAGCUGGGCAUAUUCACGACAUGGCUAGCGGCGGUGAGGAGCAAGUUUGCAAGGGUCGCGAGGAGGAGCGCACUCAGGAGUUGAUAGGGGCUAACUACUAUUGGCCUCGUAUAAGGAACGAGUCACAUCGGGCACCUCCAGCCAUUGCGACAUCAUUUGACAGGGAAGUUGAA